This 460-nucleotide ribosomal RNA is filed under the name Streptococcus cristatus. RNAcentral's name for it is "bacterial SSU rRNA". It matches the Rfam family "Bacterial small subunit ribosomal RNA", at positions 28 to 471 of the family's 1533-position model. The record is from RNAcentral. Lineage: Bacteria; Bacillati; Bacillota; Bacilli; Lactobacillales; Streptococcaceae.
GACGAACGCUGGCGGCGUGCCUAAUACAUGCAAGUAGAACGCUGAAGGGGAGAGCUUGCUCUUCUGGAUGAGUUGCGAACGGUGAGUAACGCGUAGGUUAACCUGCCUGGUAGCCGGGGGAUAACUAUUGGAAACGAUAGCUAAUACCGCAUAACAUUGACUAUUGCAUGAUAGCCAAUUGAAAAAGUGCAAAUGCACCACUACCAGAUGGACCUGCGUUGUAUUAGCUAGUUGGUGGGGUAACGGCUCACCAAGGCGACGAUACAUAGCCGACCUGAGAGGGUGAUCGGCCACACUGGGACUGAGACACGGCCCAGACUUCUACGGGAGGCAGCAGUAGGGAAUCUUCGGCAAUGGACGGAAGUCUGACCGAGCAACGCCGCGUGAGUGAAGAAGGUUUUCGGAUCGUAAAGCUCUGUUGUAAGAGAAGAACGAGUGUGAGAGUGGAAAGUUCACACUG